UUUUUUUUAAUUUUAAUUAUUAUUAUUAGCAAGUGGGAGAAAAGAAGCUUCUAAUAGCGGGAUGCGGCCGGGGCGCGGGUGGGCGUGAGGGCCCUGGCCGCCAUUGGGCCUUGGGCUUAGCAACAGCGCGGGAAGGGCCAACCCCAGCGCUUGCACGGCCGGGCCACCUGCCAAGGAUGGGUGCCAAACGCUGCGCUCCUCUGCCAAGAAAACAAACAAGGGCACUUUUAAAAACCCACAGUUAAACAGCGUGGGGUUUUCUUUCUCCCCCCUCCCUUUCUGUUCUCUCCUCCGCAAACUCUCCUUGCGCAGAGUUAAUGAUCCCUUUCCCUUUGUCGCAGAAGUUCAAGCUAGGGGGAAUUGUUGCUUGUGGAGGUUUCAGGAGUUGUUUCCCCUCUCCUGGAUGUGGCAGGCUCCCGUCUCUGCAGGCUGCAGCAGGCGCUGGAGUCAGUCCUCUCUCUUCAGAUGCUGCAGGUUCCCUCCUUCCUUCCCUCCCUCCCGGCAGGAAUCUCUGCCGCCUGCGCUAGCACUGAAGCCUGCUUGCCACUGCCACGCGUUUAUGGAACUUACAUAAUUUACUGCCUAUGUCACUCUCUCGUCUGCUACCUCUUCAUUCAUUUCAAGCCUGUUAAAGAAGUGGAAUAAGAAGCACAGAGAUUUAAAUAGGCAAAAAGUGGCUUGUAGCCACAAACCAUUUUUUUUUUUCUGCAGAGGAAAAAGAAAGAAUUUGGGAAUUCUGGUCUCAUUCUAUUAAAGAUAUAUUUUUACAUUAUAUUUUUAGUGCAGUCUUUCUUACAUAUUAGUCUUUGUGAUUGCUGAAUUUGGGGUAGCGCCAAAAUUUUGCUGAGAAGAAAUAUGAACUAUGUUUUUUUACCAGCUGAGAAACAUGCAGGUCCUUACUGUAUCCCAAAAUCUCUUCUUUCCCUGUGAAGGAGUAAAGCAGAGAAGUCAAAACCCAUUUCCAAGAAACACCAACUCUCUUCAGGUCCCCGUGGCUUAGCGCCUGCCCAGAGAGAGUGCUCGCCUUGGAUCCUGAUGUGAAGCACUAAAUGAAGAAAAUGGGACUGACUUUUCUGUUGCUGUGGUUGUUGUUGCUAUAAGACACUCCGUAGGAGGUGAAGCCAAACAUACCUCUGGGGAAAUAUUAAACACUUCACAGAGAAAGGCCUAAAGAGGCAAAUAUUGCAGCCCUUUUCUCACGCCAGUCAUCCCAUUAACUUCAGAGACACUGCUCCUCUGAGUGAGGCUGGUGGGGUCAGGCCUUCAUACACAGUAGCACCUCCAAAGGUUAAAGGAUGUCAUUUGCAGUCAUGAUCUUGUUUCACUUCCUACCUCUACCUCUGAUUUACUGAGAAACCUCAAAUAAAUCACUUAACCUCUCUAAGAAGGAGUUUACUUAAGUGCAAGAACAUUCUGGGCCUCCAACAAUAUUUGUGAAGUUCUUUCAGGUCCUUGGAGGAAAGAUGUACUUGCAAAUUAUCAGGGUAGCUGCUUACAUGGAAAUAAAUCUCAGUUUCUGUGUCUAAGCAUAUGUCCCAGCUGCAUCCCAAUCUCAUGUCUCAUAACUGUUGUUAUAAACCAUAAUCUACUGGGAUUUAAUAGGGAAAAUAUGCAGGAGAGCAGCUUGAAAGGGCAUCUCACUCAGGUGCAAGCAGGUCCUUGGUUCCAGAAAGCUGGGUUUUGGACCUCAUGUAUGGCACAUUUCAUCCCCAAAAACUUGAAUCUGAUGUAUUGAGGAGUGUGUUUCUGCAGCUGCAUUCUUAAACUGAACUGCAGUUCACUGAUGUGGUACCCAUGCUCCAUGCACUAUUUGCUUUCUCAAAUUGCUCAAACAUCUGUUAUUGCAAAAAAAAAAAAAAAAAAAA
Molecule: long non-coding RNA, 1865 nt
Organism: Taeniopygia guttata (zebra finch)
Lineage: Eukaryota; Metazoa; Chordata; Aves; Passeriformes; Estrildidae
Source: Ensembl